AGGACGAACGCUGGCGGCGUGCUUAACACAUGCAAGUCGAGCGGAAAGGCCCUUCGGGGUACUCGAGCGGCGAACGGAUGAGUAACACGUGAGCAACCUGCCCUUAGCUCUGGGAUAGCUCCGGGAAACCGGAAUUAAUACCGGAUACGACCUAGGCCGACAUCGGCCAUGGUGGAAAGUUUUUCGGCUAGGGAUGGACUCGCGGCCUAUCAGCUAGUUGGUGGGGUAAAGGCCUACCAAGGCGACGACGGGUAGCCGGCCUGAGAGGGCGACCGGCCACACUGGGACUGAGACACGGCCCAGACUCCUACGGGAGGCAGCAGUGGGGAAUCUUGCGCAAUGGGCGAAAGCCUGACGCAGCGACGCCGCGUGGGGGAUGAAGGCCUUCGGGUUGUAAACCCCUUUCAGCAGGGACGAAGCGAAAGUGACGGUACUGCAGAAGAAGCGCCGGCUAACUACGCGCCAGCAGCCGC
Molecule: ribosomal RNA, 473 nt
Filed under: uncultured bacterium
Lineage: Bacteria
Description: SSU rRNA
Rfam family: Bacterial small subunit ribosomal RNA
Source: RNAcentral